This 253-nucleotide ribosomal RNA is filed under the name uncultured bacterium. Its description in RNAcentral is "partial 16S ribosomal RNA". It matches the Rfam family "Bacterial small subunit ribosomal RNA", at positions 524 to 776 of the family's 1533-position model. The record is from RNAcentral.
UACAGAGGGGGCAAGCGUUAUUCGGAAUUAUUGGGCGUAAAGGGCGCGUAGGCGGACAGUUUAGUCAGAGGUGAAAGCCCAGGGCUCAACCUUGGAACUGCCUUUGAUACUGGCUGUCUUGAGUUCGGGAGAGGUGAGUGGAAUGCCGAGUGUAGAGGUGAAAUUCGUAGAUAUUCGGCGGAACACCAGUGGCGAAGGCGACUCACUGGCCCGAUACUGACGCUGAGGCGCGAAAGCGUGGGGAGCAAACAGG